RNAcentral lists this ribosomal RNA (155 nucleotides) under Yersinia enterocolitica subsp. palearctica YE-P1. RNAcentral's name for it is "partial 16S ribosomal RNA". It matches the Rfam family "Bacterial small subunit ribosomal RNA", at positions 1382 to 1533 of the family's 1533-position model. The record is from RNAcentral. Lineage: Bacteria; Pseudomonadati; Pseudomonadota; Gammaproteobacteria; Enterobacterales; Yersiniaceae.
UGUACACACCGCCCGUCACACCAUGGGAGUGGGUUGCAAAAGAAGUAGGUAGCUUAACCUUCGGGAGGGCGCUUACCACUUUGUGAUUCAUGACUGGGGUGAAGUCGUAACAAGGUAACCGUAGGGGAACCUGCGGUUGGAUCACCUCCUUACCU